CCGUAGGUGAACCUGCGGAGGGAUCAUUACCGAGUCUAAACAACUCAUCAACCCUGUGAACUUACCUAAAACGUUGCUUCGGCGGGAACAGACGGCCCCGUAAAACGGGCCGCCCCCGCCAGAGGACCCUUAACUCUGUUGCUAUAGUAUCUUCUGAGUAAAACAAGCAAAUAAAUUAAAACUUUCAACAACGGAUCUCUUGGCUCUGGCAUCGAUGAAGAACGCAGCGAAAUGCGAUAAGUAAUGUGAAUUGCAGAAUUCAGUGAAUCAUCGAAUCUUUGAACGCACAUUGCGCCCGCCAGUAUUCUGGCGGGCAUGCCUGUUCGAGCGUCAUUACAACCCUCAGGCCCCCGGGCCUGGCGUUGGGGAUCGGCGAGGCGCCCCCUGUGGGCACGCGCCGUCCCCCAAAUACAGUGGCGGUCCCGCCGCAGCUUCCAUUGCGUAGUAGCUAACACCUCGCAACUGGAGAGCGGCGCGGCCAUGCCGUAAAACACCCAACUUCUGAAUGUUGACCUCGAAUCAGGUAGGAAUACCCGCUGAACUUAAGCAUAUCAAU
Molecule: ribosomal RNA, 556 nt
Filed under: Fusarium solani
Lineage: Eukaryota; Fungi; Ascomycota; Sordariomycetes; Hypocreales; Nectriaceae
Description: eukaryotic LSU rRNA
Rfam family: 5.8S ribosomal RNA (bases 180-333)
Source: RNAcentral